This 1279-nucleotide long non-coding RNA is filed under the name Marmota monax (woodchuck). The record is from RNAcentral. Lineage: Eukaryota; Metazoa; Chordata; Mammalia; Rodentia; Sciuridae.
CUGGCCUCACAGCUGCUCCCUGCAGGGCCCGGGCACACCUGGCCAGUCGCUGGCAGGAGGGCUGCUGGAAGCGGCUGGGUUCUGGGCCCUGAGUCCAAGGUCAGGGUCUGCCUGGCUGCAGAGCCCUGGCUCCCCACCUGGGGAUUACCACAGGGAGGAAAGGGGGUCAGCCUCAGCUCAGAGCAAGGCUCAAAAUCAGGGCCCCGGAUCUGCUGCAUCCAGUGACGGCUGAGAAUCCGUGCUGUCCCUCGUCCUCCACCAGUGACUGGGUGGGGUGUUGGUGGGGGUGCAAGACAGCCCAGACCCACCACCCGACCUUCGGCAGCCCUUCUUCCCUAGCCUUUCAGAGACUCAAAGGGACUUCUCAGAAAAGCAAAACCCGGGCACCCGAGGCCUCAGCCAGUGUGAGAAGCAGAAGCCCUGGGUUUCUUCCCGGGGCGGUGGAACAGCGGCUGUUCCCCAAGGUGGAAGGGAAAGAAUAACACUCAGAAGGUGGGUGCUGGAAUGUUCUCAUGGGACUCUCUGGAAAGUUCUAGGAGAGAGGGAGUCACGUCCCCAUCACAGUGAGGCAGUAACGGAAGCCAGGAGUGUGAGGAGACUUGUCCACGGUCACCCAGAGUUGGGACACCCCUGGGACAGGCCGUUCACCCCGAUGCUUAGCUUCCCGGCAGCCUCCGGCCAGGCUGUGUGUCAAUAUUUAUCCAGCAAAUGGGUAAACACAGAAGGGAGGCCGGCACACAGUGCUCUGUGUGUGUGUGCGUGUGCGUGUGUGUGUGGUGUGUAUGUGCAUGUGUGUCGUGUGUGUGUGUGUGUGUGGUGUAUAUGUGCGUGUGUGUGUCAUAUGUGUGGUGUGUGUGUGGUGUGUGUGGCCAGGCCUCCCGCUCAGCCUCCGCAGGGCCUUUGCACUGCUGUGCUGUGCUCCAGGGCCAGUGCUCCCCUUGCAGGUCUUUGCCCAAAUGUCACCACUUUAGCAGCCUGCCCCACCUCCCACCCCACACCCAUACCACCCACACCCACACCCAGACACCCAGACACCCACACUCACACACACACACACACACACACACACCCCAAGGCCCAUAGACACGCUCCUCUCUCCUCUUUGUCCUUUUCUCCCCUUGGUGUCUGUGCCAUUUCCACCUGAAAUCAUACCGUGAUCUGGUUUUUGAAACGUCUAAAUUGAUUAGGUGUGAAACACACAGCGUGGUCUUUCUCUUUGGAGCAGGAAGGAGGGAGGGGAGAGGCCUGCAGGGAGGAGGGGGACGGAGCAAAAGGUCAG